CCCCCAGCCCCCCCCAGCCUAAAGAACUCCGCUUCGUCCCCUGCCCCCGCCCGUCCUAACCCUGGUGAGUACUGCAUUACCUCCUAAAUUCUCUACCUCUACUCUCAUCUAUAUACAGAAUUGAGAACGAAAAUCUUUUUCUUUCGAUACCAUUCUGGAGGAAAACUGGGACAGAAGCGUACAAUGCAAUAUGCCACCCAAGUGUGAAACCCACGUGUGUGGAUCGACUGAGUGGAACCAGAAGAGAGAAGGGUCUCUGAGAACGUUCAGAAGCAUGAAUUCGGAGGCGUGGCCAGCACCAACUACGGAUGGAUUUGAUGUCCUACUCAGGUCCGCAUUCCGUGGGGUUUGGCGGCAGGUUGCCUGGCGGGUGGACAAAACUUGUUCAAAGAAGUAGAACUGAAUCAGGUGUAACUCGAACAGAACUUUUCUACCA
Long non-coding RNA from Suricata suricatta (meerkat), 436 nucleotides. RefSeq lists it as uncharacterized. The transcript has 2 exons. The record is from RefSeq and is a predicted model, not a curated record. NCBI's taxonomy places the organism in Eukaryota, Metazoa, Chordata, Mammalia, Carnivora, Herpestidae.